RNAcentral lists this ribosomal RNA (459 nucleotides) under uncultured bacterium. Its description in RNAcentral is "partial 16S ribosomal RNA". It matches the Rfam family "Bacterial small subunit ribosomal RNA", at positions 338 to 795 of the family's 1533-position model. The record is from RNAcentral.
CCUACGGGAGGCAGCAGUGAGGAAUAUUGGUCAAUGGACGCAAGUCUGAACCAGCCAUGCCGCGUGCAGGAAGACGGCUCUAUGGGUUGUAAACUGCUUUUGUCCGAGGGCAAACGCAGAUACGCGUAUCUGUCUGAAAGUAUCGUAAGAAUAAGGAUCGGCUAACUCCGUGCCAGCAGCCGCGGUAAUACGGAGGAUUCGAGCGUUAUCCGGAUUUAUUGGGUUUAAAGGGUGCGCAGGCGGUCGUGAAAGUUAGAGGUAAAAUUCCGGGGCUCAACCCCGGAUUGCCGUUGGAACUGCUUGGCUAGAGAGUAGGUGAAGUAGGCGGAAUGUGUGGUGUAGCGGUGAAAUGCUUAGAGAUCAUACAGAACUCCGAUUGCGAAGGCAGCUUACCAGGGCACUUCUGACGCUGAGGCACGAAAGCGUGGGGAGCGAACAGGAUUAGAUACCCCAGUAGUC